This 1726-nucleotide small RNA is filed under the name Malus domestica (apple). RNAcentral describes it as "sRNA MD13G0183900". Lineage: Eukaryota; Viridiplantae; Streptophyta; Magnoliopsida; Rosales; Rosaceae. The record is from RNAcentral.
UUAGAGUUAAUUGCUCUUCAAUUUGGGAGUGCUUUGGAGCUCUGAAUCUGAUUGCUUGUCUCCUGGUGAUUACUUGUAAGUUACCUAGGGAUGGCGAGACUGAUAUGCGAAUGUGGGUUGCGAGAGCGGAGCUGGUACAAGGCUGGACAAGGACUGAGAAGGGUGCUGGCUGUAUCCAAGAGAUGGCAGACAAUAAUUACAUGAUAUAGCUAGGAAUUCUGUGUCCAUACUCACUGGUAUUUGACCAGGGUGUGGUCAAAAGAAAUUUUCCAGCUUUUUAAGGCAUAAAGAAGGGCAGCAAUGCCAUCAUCAGCGCCAUCAGUGGUGCCUUGGAAGUGUUGUACCACGUCGCGCCCACCAUCUGCCACGCCAUUGAGUCAAACCGUCACCGAGUCACGAACCGUCCCCACCGGGCACCGCAGUCCACAGCCGCAAGACGCUAGCCAUUUCUCCAGAUCCGGCUCUCUGAUUCACACUCACAGCAAGCUCAGGAAUGGCGAUUGUAACCUCCACUUCAUGUAUUCUUUGCUCCUGUUCUUCUCGAACAAACUUUAGCUGCUGCAUGCAUUCGUUCAAUGCAUCAUCUGAAUGAGUUGAUCUUUCAUUUGUGGAUACUCCCUGCCUCAAAGGUUCCUCUAAUUCUUGCUUUAAAACCGACUCUCCUGCCUUCUCACUACAAUCACCUGCUAUAACUUCUUCUUCCGGUUUUGCAUGUUCUGGAAGGGGAUCUUCUUUUACAGUGCGGUCUAGGAGAACUGAAGCUAACUUCUCAUUUAGAUUUUUCCUCGAUCUCUCUGUUUCACUUCCUUUCUCAGCUGGAUAUGAAAAUGUUUCUUCUUCAAUUCUUCCCAAAGGAGUGGCAACUUUGUUAGUUGCAAGAAUUGUCUUCUCUGAAGAUUUUUUUUUUUUUUUCAAAGCCAAGCCUUGUGGUCCAUGAUUUCGGGUCACUGGGCAAUUAAGAGAGAGACCAAAAUGCUAAAACAGUGGUGCUCCAAGAACUGUUUCCACCAUGCCUUACUGUGGAAGUCAAGGGAGAAGAAAACAACGACUUAUAAUACCACAAAUGAAGAGAGACUUUCUUCUUCAUGGAUCAAUAGAAUCAUAGGAUGCUCGCACUCCACCGACAGUUUACCUUUCUCGGUGAUAAUAAUCAAUGAGAGAGAGAGGGAAGAGAGAGUAAAAAGAAAAAAGGGCAAAAAGGAAAAGCCAAUGAGAAAAAGAAGUCAAAGAACAACGGGCCACAGGUAGAACAGGAGAAAGAGAGAGAGAGAUGGGUUGAAUGUUGUGUGAGUUAAGUGUGGUGGAAAAUGGUCUGAGGAAGUGGGUGUGCAUCAGCAGAAGAAGGCAGGGAGAUGAUGCCACGCCGAGUCUUGGCGUUCUCGAAGUGGGUGGUGGUGGUGGUGCCUCCUCAUGACUCCGCACGCAUGCAGCAAAACCAUUUUUUAGAUGGAGGAUUUCCGAGAACUACUUCUUGUUGAAGAUUACAGUGAAUCCCUUUUGAUGCUGGAUCAUUGACAUCCCAAUUUUGGUAGCGGGAUUUGAGGUGGUCCGAGUACUGAAGGGAUUUGAGAUGGUGAUGGAUUGACGAGUCUGCUUUUUUCAGGUGAGGUUCAAUGGAAGAGAGAGAGAGAGGUGGUUGGAGAUCUGCGAAGACGGCGCUAAAUGUUGAUGCAUAAAACCGGAGGUCUUGGAACAACGUAAAUCCAAUCAUGAAUCUGCAAGAAAU